GGCUGCGAUCAUACCAGUACUAAUGCACCGGAUCCCAUCAGAACUCCGCAGUUAAGCGUGCUUGGGCGAGAGUAGUACUAGGAUGGGUGACCCCCUGGGAAGUCCUCGUGUUGCAACCC
This 119-nucleotide ribosomal RNA is filed under the name Helianthus annuus (common sunflower). Lineage: Eukaryota; Viridiplantae; Streptophyta; Magnoliopsida; Asterales; Asteraceae. The record is from RNAcentral.